GCCCCUGGGGAGCCCAGCUCGCAGGUCUGGGCUGAGCGAGCGCUCCGCCACCCGCGCGAGGCUGAAGUCCCAUCUGACCGCCUGUGUUUAUCCCUUUAUUUUCCAGCAAGCAGGAAAGCAGCUCCAUCAGCUCCGGCAUCAUCUCUCCACCCUGAGCAGAGCGAGCUGUGCUCCGGCUGGGAGGGGAGGACGCUGAGCCAAGCGGUGGCUCUCUGCCGAGCAUCCCCUUCCCACGCUGCGGGGGGCCCGGCAGCCCCUGCCCCACCAUGCUGGAUAUUUUCAUCUUGAUGUUUUUUGCCAUCAUCGGCCUGGUGAUCCUCUCCUACAUCAUUUACAUGCUCUAGAGCGAUGCUGGGGAAGAUGCAGCUCAGCAUCAGCCUCGCAAGCAAAACAGCGUCCAGCCACCGCCUUGUCCGUCUCCCUCGGAGCCUUCUGGAAAAGCGUUAACCCUCUGCGAGCAAACGGGGAGCGAGCCGCCGUGGCUGGGCUGGCACCGGGGCGCUGCGGAGGGGGCCAAGCGGGGCGGCCACGUGGGGCAAAGGGGACAAUGGGGUGGCAGGGGAGAGGGCUGCCAGGUGACACCCCGCUGCCGAGACAUGGGUUGAUCCCGGUGACGCACGCCUCAUCCCAGGGGGAUACAAAGGGUUCUGCCCCCCGCCGUGUGGCGUAGCCCCUUGGGAUGAGCGCUUCCGAGGUCGGUCGGUCGAGUUUUAUUUUAGAAAAGCAGUUAUAUUUUUAAUGAAAACCGUUCAAGGAAAUGAAAUAAAGAGGAAUGAUGCGGGAGA
Falco peregrinus (peregrine falcon) is the source of this 785-nucleotide long non-coding RNA. RefSeq lists it as uncharacterized. The transcript is spliced from 2 exons. NCBI's taxonomy places the organism in Eukaryota, Metazoa, Chordata, Aves, Falconiformes, Falconidae. The record is from RefSeq and is a predicted model, not a curated record.